This 239-nucleotide ribosomal RNA is filed under the name uncultured bacterium. RNAcentral describes it as "partial 16S ribosomal RNA". It matches the Rfam family "Bacterial small subunit ribosomal RNA", at positions 15 to 236 of the family's 1533-position model. The record is from RNAcentral.
GAUCCUGGCUCAGGAUGAACGCUGGCGGCGUGCUUAACACAUGCAAGUCGAACGAAGCACUUAAGAUUGAUUCUUCGGAUGACGUCUUUUGUGACUUAGUGGCGGACGGGUGAGUAACGCGUGGGUAACCUGCCUCACACAGGGGGAUAACAGUUAGAAAUGACUGCUAAUACCGCAUAACCCGAUAGGAUCGCAUGAUCCAGACGGAAAAGAUUUAUCGGUGUGAGAUGGACCCGNGU